GACCACCAAUAUCCUCACCUCAGCUUGUAUGAUUUUCCUGAAGGGAGGAGGAAAAGAAAGAGAGCUGUUGGAGAGGGUUCAGAGGAGGGACACAAAGAUGAUCAGGGAGCUGGAGCACCUCCCCUACAAAGACAAGCUGAGGUAGCUAGGCUGGUUCAGCCUAGAGAGAAGAAAGCCACUGGGUAACCUAAUCGCAGCCUUUCAGUACCUAAAGGGAGCCUAUAAACAGAAGGGGAGUCAACUGCAUGACAGGAUAGCUAACAGGAGAACAAGGGGAAAUGGUUUUAAGUUGAGGGAAGGAAGAUUUAGGUUGGAUGUCAGGGGGAAGUUCGUCACUAUAACAAUGGUGAGGAUGAGAAACAAGCACCCAAAGAGACUGAGGAUGCACAGUCCCCGGAGAUGUUCAAGGCCAGGUUGGAUGGGGAGCUGGGCAGCCUGUUUUAGUAUCAAAUGAGGAGGUUGGAGGCCCCACCUGUGGGAGGGAGGGAUGGAGAUGCAUGAUACUUGAGGGCCCUCAAACCUGGAUCACUCUGAGAUUCCGUGAGAAAGGUUGGCAGGAAAUUCAACCAGUAAGAAACAAAAGCCUUAACGCUAUCAAAAACUUAAACCAAGACUAAAUACACAAAGGAAAUGAACAGCAAAUAUAACAGGAAGAACAACAUAAAAAAUUUAUUCUCAGCUGACUGUGCUGCGAAAAAGGCUGAUAAAGUCAUAAAAAACCAUUCAAACUGAGGCUCCAAAUAAAAUGAUAAUGAGAUAAACACACAAACAGAUUGCUAACUUGAUUUGAAGCCCAGGUCCCCACGCUGCUGCUUCUUCUUUCUUCUGCAGCAGCUCCUGAAACAUCAGGGGGGGGGGGGUCUCUCGGAACACAGCUCACCAAGCACACACGGGGGGCACACACAGCCCUGCCUACAGGACCGUACCCCCGCACCUCACCCUCUCCAAGAAGCCCCGCGGAGCACGAGGCUCCCGCCAACGCCUGAGCUACAGGCGGGCCCGCCCGGCAGCAGCAGAACAUCACCAACGUCUUCUCUUGGGGAACCCAGGGAGCAGCCUCGACCCACCGAGCGGGGAGGUCACCCCACACGCAAGCAGCACCUCAACCUGCACCCUCUGACGGGACAGGGAGGGGUCAUUCCCACCAGCUGGAUGGCUAAAGCAGCCGGCUGCAACGCUGCAGCCUCCCCACACCUGAGUACAGGGCGGGCGGGCGGGCUGCUCAAGGGACAGAGGGCUCCUAAGCUUGGGACACACACCCCGACUACAGGGCUGCCACGCCGCCAGCAGAACAGGCGGCCACGCAAGGACAGGCCCAAGCCCUGGCUACAGGGCGGCCUCGGCCACACAACUACCGCGUGGCUCUGAUCUGGACUAAGUAAAAAGGAG
Molecule: long non-coding RNA, 1389 nt
Filed under: Gallus gallus (chicken)
Lineage: Eukaryota; Metazoa; Chordata; Aves; Galliformes; Phasianidae
Description: lncRNA (ENSGALG00010023316.1)
Source: RNAcentral